UCCUCGGGGCGCAGCAGUGGGGGAUAUUGCACAAUGGGGGGAACCCUGAUGCAGCGACGCCGCGUGGGUGAAGAAGCGCCUCGACGCGUAAAGCCCUGUCAGCAGGGAAGAUAAUGACGGUACUUGAGGAGGAAGCCCCGGCUAACUACGUGCCAGCAGCCGCGGUAAUACGUAGGGGGCUAGCGUUAUCCGGAAUUACUGGGCGUAAAGGGUGCGUAGGUGGUUUCUUAAGUCAGAGGUG
This 241-nucleotide ribosomal RNA is filed under the name uncultured bacterium. RNAcentral's name for it is "partial 16S ribosomal RNA". It matches the Rfam family "Bacterial small subunit ribosomal RNA", at positions 338 to 596 of the family's 1533-position model. The record is from RNAcentral.